RNAcentral lists this ribosomal RNA (497 nucleotides) under uncultured bacterium. RNAcentral describes it as "partial 16S ribosomal RNA". It matches the Rfam family "Bacterial small subunit ribosomal RNA", at positions 28 to 507 of the family's 1533-position model. The record is from RNAcentral.
GAUGAACGCUGGCGGCGUGCCUAAUACAUGCAAGUCGAGCGAACAGACGAGGAGCUUGCUCCUCUGACGUUAGCGGCGCACGGGUGAGUAACACGUGGAUAACCUACCUAUAAGACUGGGAUAACUUCGGGAAACCGGAGCUAAUACCGGAUAAUAUAUUGAACCGCAUGGUUCAAUAGUGAAAGACGGUUUUGCUGUCACUUAUAGAUGGAUCCGCGCCGCAUUAGCUAGUUGGUAAGGUAACGGCUUACCAAGGCAACGAUGCGUAGCCGACCUGAGAGGGUGAUUGGCCACACUGGAACUGAGACCCGGUCCAGACUCCUACGGGAGGCAGCAGUAGGGAAUCUUCCGGAAUGGGCGAAAGCCUGACGGAGCAACGCCGCGUGAGUGAUGAAGGUCUUUGGAUCGUAAAAACCUGUUAUUAGGGAAGAACAAAUGUGUAAGUAACUAUGCACGUCUUGACGGUACCUAAUCAGAAAGGCACGGCUAAAUACGUG